Molecule: transfer RNA, 74 nt
Filed under: Dicloster acuatus
Lineage: Eukaryota; Viridiplantae; Chlorophyta; Trebouxiophyceae; Chlorellales; Chlorellaceae
Description: tRNA-Thr
Rfam family: tRNA
About the family: Transfer RNA (tRNA) molecules are approximately 80 nucleotides in length.
Source: RNAcentral
GCCUUUGUAACUCAGAUAGGUAGAGUAUUUGCAUGGUAAGCAAAAAGUCGCCGGUUCAAAUCCGGUCUUAGGCU